Non-coding RNA from Salvelinus sp. IW2-2015, 100 nucleotides. The record is from RefSeq and is a predicted model, not a curated record. NCBI's taxonomy places the organism in Eukaryota, Metazoa, Chordata, Actinopteri, Salmoniformes, Salmonidae.
GUUAAUACCAAGGUGUUAUGGUUAAUACCAAGGUGUUAUGUUGGUUAAUACCAAGGUGUUAUGUUGGUUAAUACCAAGGUGUUAUGUGGUUAAUACCAAG